AAAGAUGAUUAAUUAUUACUUACAAUAAUAAAAACCUUUUGGCAUCUUUU
This 50-nucleotide transfer RNA is filed under the name Metacrangonyx dhofarensis. RNAcentral describes it as "tRNA-Val". The record is from RNAcentral. Lineage: Eukaryota; Metazoa; Arthropoda; Malacostraca; Amphipoda; Metacrangonyctidae.